GACGAACGCUGGCGGCGCGCCUAACACAUGCAAGUCGAACGAGCGAGAGAGAGCUUGCUUUCUCGAGCGAGUGGCGAACGGGUGAGUAACGCGUGAGGAACCUGCCUCAAAGAGGGGGACAACGUUCUGAAAAGAACGCUAAUACCGCAUAACAUACGGAUGUCGCAUGGCAACCGUAUCAAAGAUUAUAUCGCUUGAAGAUGGACUCGCGUCCGAUUAGCCAGUUGGCGGGGUAACGGCCCACCAAAGCGACGAUCGGUAGCCGGACUGAGAGGUUGAACGGCCACAUUGGGACUGAGACACGGCCCAG
Molecule: ribosomal RNA, 310 nt
Filed under: uncultured bacterium
Lineage: Bacteria
Description: bacterial SSU rRNA
Rfam family: Bacterial small subunit ribosomal RNA
Source: RNAcentral